This 254-nucleotide ribosomal RNA is filed under the name uncultured bacterium. RNAcentral describes it as "partial 16S ribosomal RNA". It matches the Rfam family "Bacterial small subunit ribosomal RNA", at positions 524 to 776 of the family's 1533-position model. The record is from RNAcentral.
UACGAAGGGGGCUAGCGUUGCUCGGAAUCACUGGGCGUAAAGGGCGCGUAGGCGGCCGAUUAAGUCGGGGGUGAAAGCCUGUGGCUCAACCACAGAAUUGCCUUCGAUACUGGUUGGCUUGAGACCGGAAGAGGACAGCGGAACGUGCGAGUGUAGAGGUGAAAUUCGUAGAUAUUCGCAAGAACACCAGUGGCGAAGGCGGCUGUCUGGUCCGGUUCUGACGCUGAGGCGCGAAAGCGUGGGGAGCAAACAGG